This 403-nucleotide ribosomal RNA is filed under the name uncultured bacterium. RNAcentral's name for it is "bacterial SSU rRNA". It matches the Rfam family "Bacterial small subunit ribosomal RNA", at positions 355 to 776 of the family's 1533-position model. The record is from RNAcentral.
UGAGGAAUCUUCCACAAUGGGCGAAAGCCUGAUGGAGCGACACCGCGUGAAGGAUGAAGCCUUUGUUGGUGUAAACUUCUUUUCUCUCGGAAGAUAAUGACGGUACGAGAGGAAUAAGGGGCGGCAAACUUCGUGCCAGCAGCCGCGGUGAUACGAGGGCCCCAAGCAUUAUCCGGAAUUACUGGGCGUAAAGCGUCUGUAGGUGGUUUUGUAAGUCGCAUAUGAAACUCCAUGGCUCAACCAUGGAUUGUAUGGGAAACUAUAGAACUCGAGUAUGGGAGAGGUAAGCGGAACGGUAUGAGUAGGGGUGCAAUCCGUUGAUACAUACCAGAACACCAAAAGCGAAGGCAGCUUACUGGAACAUUACUGACACUGAGAGACGAAAGUGUGGGGAGCAAAAGGG